Tripterygium wilfordii is the source of this 3905-nucleotide long non-coding RNA. RefSeq lists it as uncharacterized. The transcript has 4 exons. NCBI's taxonomy places the organism in Eukaryota, Viridiplantae, Streptophyta, Magnoliopsida, Celastrales, Celastraceae. The record is from RefSeq and is a predicted model, not a curated record.
CUCACGUGUGAAAUGUAGCAGAUACACACACACUCGCACGUACAAAUAUCCUCUCCAUGAUAUAUCUUAUCUCUAUAAAAAUCAGCUUGCAAGCAUCUACACCCAGUUGACAUAACAACUCGAUCCCCUCUAUCUCUUUGAGAAUUUAUUGGGGUUUUCUUUCAAAGGCUGGAGUUCAGUGACUCUCCAAUAAGGAAUAACAAGUUGGGAGUUGGGAUUUAUCAUGUUGAUUAAAGGGGUGAGUGAAUUCCAUGCUAUUGCUUUGUCAAGUGAUUAGUCUUUUGCAUAUUAACCCUUUUGUUCGUUGUCUGUUCGACCUUGAAUACAUAAAAAACAAAAACCCUAAUGAGUAAGGAUGGUUUUGAAUUUCAAUUUGAAGAGAUUAUAUCGAUUAGGUUAUAUAAUUAAUCAAGGAAAGCCAAUAACAUAUCAACAUGUGCAUAUAUAUGUGUGUGUGUGUGUGUGUAUAUAGUGUUUGACACAAGGCUAGCUCAUACCACAAUUAAUGUUGCUGUUGUUCCAAGGAUCACUUCUAUAUAUGUUUAAUUUGCCUAUCAUUAUAGAAUUCAAAUUUCGUUUAAUCUUAGUUUUAUAGUUAUUAUUGGAGGUCAAUAUAGAAAGAGAAAAACAUAUAUGAUAUAUAGCUAGCUAGGAACGGAGCAAUUAAUUAAUUAAUUUUGCAGACAAAACUUCACCAUGGCUGUUUAAUCUUAAUAAUAUAUAGAAAGGCUCAUAGUUGGAAGAACAUUGCCAAGAUUUGGUGCAACUUUUUGCCUAGCUAAAGAAAGAGGAGAGGAUUUCAUGCUAAGCAUAUCUUACUAUAAACGAGCUCAAAAUAGAGCAUAAGCUCAUACAUCCAAGUCCUAUAUACUAUAUAUGUAUUAUAUAUCCAAUUCCUAUAUCUAUUAUCUGGAUAUUUCGUAUACUUCUCUCUCUUCUGAUCCACUGAUAUACUCUCUGACGAAGUUGUAGAACACCAGAACACAGUUCAGUUGAUAAAAUGUGGGCCCUCCCUUUUCAGUUAUUUUGGCAAUAUUUUCCUUCUAGGAGUCUAAACUCAAAGUAUCACUUUUCACCCUGAAAAAGAAAAUACCGUUUGGAGAUGCAGUCAAACAAGAAUCUUACUCCUAUUUUAAUCCUGGCCUUGUAAUAAUGAUCGUCUCUCUCUCUCUCUCUAUUCUUAGUGAAAAUUAGUUCAAUGUAUGUCUGUGCAGUAGUUUGGACAUGCAUAUUGAUGAAACUUAAUUUGUCUUUGUACUUUUUAGAGUUAUAUAUAGCCAUAUAGCUAGGGUCCUUUGGACACACAUGCAUUGUUAAUUGUUUGUAGUAUUUGUGUUUGGCCAUUUCUAAGUAAAAUGUGUGUGGUUAAGCCUUUUUCUUAUGAACAAGAAAAUACAAAAGGCAAAAUAUGCAUAUGCAUGUAAUGAAAGUGGGUUUGGUUUAAUUUAAUUAAAUUCAAGGUCGAACAGGACAGCGAAUGUGAGGUAUAAAGCGACGGACUGUUCAUUUGAUAUGGCUUUUACACGGAGAUCAACACCCACCCGCCCUCAGUACUGUCUCUCAUGCUUGGAUAUAUAUAUAUAUAUAUAUAUAUAUAUAUAUGCUACAUUUUUUAUAUUGUUUUAUUGACAUAUUGUAUAUAUAUAUAUGCUUUGAAAGAAUUUGUAGGUCUCACUAUUUGAACUUAAAGGGGAAAAUUCUUAAUUUUAUUUUGCAUUGGACCAAAAAUAUCUUAGUGUCCUGUGUGUGUCAAGACUAUAUCCCACAUUGGAUUGAUAUAAUCCAAUCAAGUGAUAUAUAAGUAAAGUCCUAACACCUUCCACACAAGUGACACAUUUUUUUGAACCUAAGAAUCAAUGGUGACGAUCCAUGAAGAAUAAAUUCAUACAAGUCCAUGGCCAGAACGAACAAUAUUCUUGAUGUGUUUGAGCUUGGAUUUUCAAAAAGCCUAGGUAUGGUUCUCAUUAAUGUCAUAUUAAUGUCUAAACUCUAUACAUAUAGGACACUGACUUAUUUUAUUUUAAUUUCGCCAGCUCUCAUUUUCAAUACACUAAGCAGGAUGGAUGCCCGGGAUGGUGUCCCAUGCACGAUGGAUAUGGAGGUGGCUAGAGAUCGAAGCUUGUCAGAAUGAAGAUAGCUAGAGAUUAAUUGCUGUCAGUGCUUGGAAAAAUGAGUGAAUUCCAUGCUAUCCAUGUCAAGUGAGCAGUUCCUUAACAGAUUAAUCUUUGUUUCAUUGUCUGUUCGACCCUGAAACCCUUUCUUCUUAGGCCCCAUAUAUAUAUAUAAAGUUAUAAACCCUAGAUCCUAGUUAUAUAUCUCAAAAAAUAGAAUAAGGUAGAAGAUGAAAAAUUGGUUCCAAUAUAAUUGGCAGAAAACAAAAAAAAAGUACAAGGAAUCAAUAUAUAGUCGGAUAAAUGGCAAUCUCAAAACAAAGCUAUAGCAAUUUUACACACACACACACACACACACAUAUAUAUAUAUACUUGAGUAUUAUGCAUACAAAUGUUGCUAACUGGGACUGUAAUAGGAAAGUGCAGGCUAUAAGCUACUCAUGAAACCUAGAAAAGAGAAACCAAAUUCAUCUGGUAAAAGAAAGUGAAAUGGUGAAAUAAUUUUAGGACCCACCCUACUUUUCCAUACAUGGAUGUAUGUGUUUGGCUGGUUCUAGUCAUCUUUUGUUAUUUUCUUUCUUUUUAAUAUUCCCGUAUAUCAAAUUGAAUUGAUACAUGCAUACACUACGCUAAGUUUCCCAACAACCCUUGUUUCUUAUGUAAGAAUUGGAAUGUACUUUUUAUUGCCUAGAAAAUCUGGGAAAAAUGGAAGGGAAAAAAAAAACCUCUUGUUUAGAUAAGGGCGGCUCUACCUGGUUGCUGCUCAAUGCCCCAUAUUUUUCAAAAACUACGAUUAUAUAGUAGUUAGCUACUUAGCUCAAGCAACUCCUUUUCUAGUGUUUGCCCGGUUCCCGUAGACUCAGGUAUGUCACAGUCUUAGAUAUCUAUGUAAGAUGAAGUUUCAAGGUGGAACAUGACAAUGAAAUAGAGGUGUGAUGAAGUAGGGACUAUUUACUUGACCUGGGUUUGCAUGGAAUUUAAAACCUCAUAGAUAUUCAGUUGUUUGACAAGGCUCCAGUUGAUGCAUGGAACUAUCAAAUGUUACGUUUCCACCAUUAAUUACUGCUCUCUCAACUGGAUUUCCCAGGAAAGAUCAUGUUAUCUUGGGAGAUUGUUGUUCGAUCACCAAAAACAACUAUGGGGGACAAAUCAAUCUUAAAGAGACAAUGUUCAAUGUUGGACUUGAUUAUUUAGGUGUAUUCUAUUCUAUAUCCAACAACAAAGUUUUUAUUCCUAUACGAUUCUUGUUUGAUUUCCUCUCAUUUAUGUUACUAUAUUGUAUACAUUGGAAUUCGGAUCUACUGAUGGGGAGAAAUACACAAUUUGAUACCUCAAAAGGGCAUAUGUACAUGGAACAGGCAGUUAUUGCAGAUAGGAGGAGAUGAGGGAAUCAACAAUUCACCUACCCUUCUUUGAUGCGCUCAGUGAACUUUUCCUUCCUUUUGGGUUCCAGGUUUUGGCAAUUGAAGCACUCUGGAAGGCUGUAGUAGAGAGGUUUCGAUCAUGCUGAUAUAUGGUCUUACAGCUUUAUCUGAUUUCGAUUAUAGAAUUAUGUAAUUUAUUGUAUGUGUAUGUCCUGCUGCCAUGGGCCGGAGACUCUAUAGAGUUAUUUUGACUGGGCUUGACACUGCAGGCUUUGUAUGGGCUGUUCUGGGCCGGGCUUGGUAUAGUCCGUAGUUGUACGAGGUAGCCGAGUUUGAGAAAGGUAUGUUGAAGCCCAGCCCAGCCCAGCCCUCAAAAUAGCACCUUCAAUCAUUGAUUAUUAUAGCUAACUUGGUUGAUACGAAUUAUCGA